Molecule: ribosomal RNA, 492 nt
Filed under: uncultured bacterium
Lineage: Bacteria
Description: partial 16S ribosomal RNA
Rfam family: Bacterial small subunit ribosomal RNA
Source: RNAcentral
AGUGAACGCUGGCGGUAGGCCUAACACAUGCAAGUCGAACGGCAGCACAGUAAGAGCUUGCUCUUACGGGUGGCGCGUGGCGGACGGGUGAGGAAUACAUCGGAAUCUACUUUUUCGUGGGGGAUAACGUAGGGAAACUUACGCUAAUACCGCAUACGACCUACGGGUGAAAGCCGGGGAUCUUCGGACCUUGCGCGAGUGAAUGAGCCGAUGUCGGAUUAGCUAGUUGGCGGGGUAAAGGCCCACCAAGGCGACGAUCCGUAGCUGGUCUGAGAGGAUGAUCAGCCACACUGGAACUGAGACACGGUCCACACACCUACGGGAGGCAGCAGUGGGGAAUAUUGGACAAUGGGCGCAAGCCGGAUCCAGCCAUACCGCGUGAGUGAAGAAGGCCUUCGGGUUGUAAAGCCCUUUUGUUGGGAAAGAAAAGCAGCAGGUUAAUACCCCGCUGUUCUGACGGUACCCAAAGAAUAAGCACCGGCUAACUUCGUG